AUUGAACGCUGGCGGCAGGCCUAACACAUGCAAGUCGAACGGUAGCACAGAGAGCUUGCUCUUGGGUGACGAGUGGCGGACGGGUGAGUAAUGUCUGGGAAACUGCCCGAUGGGAGGGGGAUAACUACUGGAAACGGUAGCUAAUACCGCAUAACGUCGCAAGGACCAAAGUGGGGGACCUUCGGGCCUCACACCAUCGGAUGUGCCCAGAUGGGAUUAGCUAGUAGGUGGGGUAAUGGCUCACCUAGGCGACGAUCCCUAGCUGGUCUGAGAGGAUGACCAGCCACACUGGAACUGAGACACGGUCCAGACUCCUACGGGUGGCAG
Molecule: ribosomal RNA, 327 nt
Filed under: uncultured Pseudomonadota bacterium
Lineage: Bacteria; Pseudomonadati; Pseudomonadota
Description: bacterial SSU rRNA
Rfam family: Bacterial small subunit ribosomal RNA
Source: RNAcentral